UGGGGAAUAUUGGACAAUGGGCGAAAGCCUGAUCCAGCAAUACCGAGUGAGUGAUGAAGGUCCUAGGGUUGUAAAGCUCUUUUAGCAAGGAAGAUAAUGACGUUACUUGCAGAAAAAGCCCCGGCUAACUCCGUG
Molecule: ribosomal RNA, 135 nt
Filed under: Rickettsia endosymbiont of Macrolophus pygmaeus
Lineage: Bacteria; Pseudomonadati; Pseudomonadota; Alphaproteobacteria; Rickettsiales; Rickettsiaceae
Description: partial 16S ribosomal RNA
Rfam family: Bacterial small subunit ribosomal RNA
Source: RNAcentral